This 441-nucleotide ribosomal RNA is filed under the name uncultured bacterium. RNAcentral describes it as "partial 16S ribosomal RNA". It matches the Rfam family "Bacterial small subunit ribosomal RNA", at positions 339 to 795 of the family's 1533-position model. The record is from RNAcentral.
CUACGGGGGGCAGCAGUCGAGAAUCUUUCGCAAUGGCCGAAAGGCUGACGAAGCAAUACCGCGUGAAGGAUGACACCCCUCGGGGCGUAAACUUCUUUUCUUAGGGAAGAAUUAGUGACGUUACCUAAGGAAUAAGCAACUGCUAACUUCGUGCCAGCAGCAGCGGUAAUACGAAGGUUGCAAGCGUUAUCCGGAAUUAUUGGGCGUAAAGCGUCUGUAGGUGGUUUGUUAAGUCUCAAAUUAAAACUCUAGGCUCAACCUAGAGAUAGUUUGAGAAACUAAUAAACUAGAGGAUGGGAGAGGUAAGCGGAAUGGCCGGUGUAGUAGUAAUAUGCAUUGAUAUCGGCUAGAACACCAAAUGCAAAGGCAGCUUACUAGAACAUUCCUGACACUGAGAGACGAAAGCGUGGGUAGCGAAUGGGAUUAGAUACCCUAGUAGUC